Molecule: long non-coding RNA, 1371 nt
Filed under: Meleagris gallopavo (turkey)
Lineage: Eukaryota; Metazoa; Chordata; Aves; Galliformes; Phasianidae
Description: lncRNA (ENSMGAG00000019823.1)
Source: RNAcentral
UGUUGUAGGCCCGCGGGGUCGGCGACGGCAACAACCGUGGGCAGGAGGUGCCCACGGGUGUCACCUGUCCCCCAGUGGGUGGGCACGUUGUCACCGGCGGUGUCACAGUCGUCCCAAGUCGCGCUGUCACCACGACCAUCUCCGGUGUCACCGCUCCUUCAGGUUGCGACGUCCCCACGACCGUCUCCUCGGGUUGUGGUGGUUGUGGUGACAAGUGAGGUGGUAACGACGACACGUUCAGCGUCACCGCGACCGCCCUGGCUGUCACCACCACCUCUCCUGGUUGUGUUGUCACCGCUUUGGGUGUCACGGCCACCUCUCCUGGUUGUGUUGUCACCGCUUUGGGUGUCACGGCCACCAUCUUGGGUGUCACGGCCACCUCUCCCGCCUGUGUUGUCACCUCAACCUCCCCAGGUUGCGUUGUCACCGUCUCCGCCGGCGCGCUGUAAACCUGAACGCUGACCACUGCCAACAACACCAGGAGGAGCCGCGUGGCCAGGCUGACUUCUUCCGUUGGGGGCGGCCGUCGCACCUGGAGGGGGGGCAACGAAGGGUUAACACACAGCUUUUCGGGAGGUGAAAAGCCUUAAAAUGGGGGACAAACGGCGUUACCAGGGGGAAUUCCCCCCAUUUUCGGCGACGUUCUUGGGGUUCGUGUAGAGGGGACCCAGCUGAGAGCAAAGCCAACCCGAGCCUAAUUAGCUGCUGGGGUUAAUGGGUUAAUAACCCCGCUCCUGCAGGGGCAACGCUGUCUGAAUUCGGGGUUAAAAACUCCCGAAACGAAGGAAAACGUAAUCCUUGAGGGGGCGAAUGUAAUUGUCUGGUGGGAAACCCCCCGCUUUUGGGUUGCUUCUGUGAGGUUUAAUGGGUUAAUAACAUCCUGAGGGGAAUGAUCGCCUUCAUUUUGGGUUAAAAAACCCCAAAAUUAGGGUAAUUAUCAUCCUUGAGUGACAAAAUGUAGUUUUAAGGGGAAAUUUCCCCAUUUCGGGUUCUAGUUUCACAGGUUCUAUGGGAUCUCUGUGGGGUUCUAUGAAAUGCCAGUUGUUUUCCCCCUAAAUACUGCUUCAAUUUGGGGUUAAAAGCCCUAAAAUCAGGGAAAAUGUAAUUCUAGGGGGAAAAGCAGCUCCAGUUUUAGUUACGAAAACCCUAAAACGGGAGAAAAUAUUACUUGAAGGUGGUAGUGGGGGGAACACUGCCCCAGUUUUGGGUUAAAAAGCAUAAAUGAUGAGAAAACAGAAUACAGACGGAGAUAUCCUGCUCUAGUUUGGAGGUAAAACGUCCUAAAAAGAGGAAAAAUGUUGUUCUAAAGGGAAAAUACCACCCCAGAUUUGGGUUAAAACACCUAAAAAAAGGAAAAAUGUGACUAGGUAG